This is a long non-coding RNA of Heterocephalus glaber (naked mole-rat), 2047 nucleotides long. The record is from Ensembl. Lineage: Eukaryota; Metazoa; Chordata; Mammalia; Rodentia; Bathyergidae.
CUCUGAGAUUUGUGGCUUGUCCCUGGGACUGGGCCCACUUCUGGUUCCUGCUGGAUGAGGUCAGGAGAACAGAACAAGCCUCCACCUCAAGCCUGUACAACCAACUGUCCCAGGGGUUGGGUGUAGGUAGCACCAAGAAGAUGAGAUGCUAUAAACAAUAAGUUAGAACAGUAGCCAGAAAACCCAGGAAUGAAUGAAUGAUGUGGGGAGAUUGCAUCAAGGUGACUGAUGAACAAUAUUUGUCCUCCUGCUUCUCCCCUAAAUUCUAAAACAUACAAAAAAGGUGUUUAUGAGAAUAAAUUAAUUCCUGGCACUGCUAGGGAAAAGGGAGUUGUAACUGGCUGUAUUUUCCAAGAUGGCUAUAAGAAUAUGUUUCAUUACACAUGCUUUUCUUACAAGAGACUCUGACACUUCCCAUCCAUCACUGGGGUCUCUGUUUCUUCUCCUGGAGCCUUAGUGGAACUGUGACAUGACUGCAGCGGAAGUGAAGCCAUGGUUCAUAAAAUCUGAUUCCAUUUCUGCCUGGACUUCUGACCGUGCUUGUGAGACUCCAUGCUGUGAGAAAGCUCAAGACUCAUGGAGAUGAUGUUCCUUCUCACACCCUAGAGGAGUUGGGCCCCAGCCACCAACUCACUGCGAUCCUAUGGAAGCCUCUGAGCAAGAGCUACCUAGAUGAACCUAAUCAACUCGCAUGGCCAUGAGAGAACAAUACAAAUGACUGUUACCACAGCCACUGUAAUUUAGAAUGAUCUGCUGCUCAGCAAUAAUAAUAUAGCAAUAGCAAUAGUCAACCAGAGCACAGAUGCAAAGUGGACCAGAGGUCUAAAAACUUGGGAUCAGACUGAAGAGGAAAACAAAGCCUCAAAUUCUAGAAAUUGAGGGAACAGCUUUAGAGUGCUUCUAGUUUAUCCAGGACAGGUACAGGGGACAGACAGAGCCCCAACUCUGUCUUAGGGUGUCUCCAUUCAGAAGACCAUUCAGUGGCCCUCCUCACCAGGCAACACAUUCCUGCUUCUCACCCACAAUAGCUGCAGGAAAUGGAUAAACCACUUAACAAAGGCACCAACAGGAAAUCCCAGAGUCUAAGAUGGGCACUUCAUGAAAACAUUCUAAAUAACUGAGAAAAACCCACUACAACAUAGAGGUAAGAAUCCCAACCAAGAAAAUACUUUUUAAAAGUAAGGUAUUGAGACAAAGAGAUGAAGGUUUUAAAGCAUAAUAAAUAUAUUUAGAAAAAGAUCAGGCUGCUAUAAAAAAGAGAGCCAAUGAAAGCUCUUCAAAACUAGACAUUUGAUUAUCAAAAUAGAGAUGGACAACCCUGAAGAAUAGUUCUUAAAAUUAAGGACAAAGCAGCCUUCAGAAUAUCAUACAAAAAGACAAAGACAUGAGAUGUAUGAAGGAAAUGUGGAGAGGGAUGGAGGAUAGAUAGAUGCAGGAGUUAAAAACUAUCUAAUACAAGGUCCCUAAGAAGAGUGAGUCAGAAAAACACAAAAAGAAACAGUAGAAGAAAAAUUUAUUGAAACUUGUUCCCAAAAGGCUUAAGAAGAUACUGAAAACAUGGAUAGAUCAAUAGAAACAGUUUUGGGUAGAAAUGAAUGAUUCACCUAUUUUUAAUAAAGUACCCAGACCCACUCAUUUUUAUAUGCACUCUCUACCUAACCUUUAGGAAGCAAUUACCAUCUGAGGUAAACUAUUUCAGAGCAUACAACAAAAUAUAAAAUAAGCCAACACAUUUUCCAAGAAGAACAGAACUUAAUACCAAAACUGGAAGACUACACAUGGUCAUGGAUGCAAAGAUUCUAAGGACUGCUGUGAAGAUCCAAUAAGAAAAUGUGUGUAAAUCACCUGGCCCAAGGAAGUUUUCAAUAAAAUGUUAGUUAUUUCCUCUCGUUGGUUGCAGAAGUUCAUGCAAAUUCAAUUUCAGAUGUAAAAUCCAGGAGUGAACUCUCCUCCGAUUACAUCUAUCUGUGCCACAUCUAAUCAAGAACCUGCCACAGAGCCAAACCCCAAGAAGGCAGGAGAGGAGCCAUGUAUGCAGCCGAGGGCC